Molecule: ribosomal RNA, 396 nt
Filed under: uncultured bacterium
Lineage: Bacteria
Description: partial 16S ribosomal RNA
Rfam family: Bacterial small subunit ribosomal RNA
Source: RNAcentral
AUACGUAGGGGGCGAGCGUUGUCCGGAAUGAUUGGGCGUAAAGGGCGCGUAGGCGGCCCGGUAAGUCUGGAGUGAAAGUCCUGUUUUUAAGAUGGGAAUUGCUUUGGAUACUGUCGGGCUUGAGUGCAGGAGAGGUAAGUGGAAUUCCCAGUGUAGCGGUGAAAUGCGUAGAGAUUGGGAGGAACACCAGUGGCGAAGGCGACUUACUGGACUGUAACUGACGCUGAGGCGCGAAAGUGUGGGGAGCAAACAGGAUUAGAUACCCUGGUAGUCCACACUGUGAACGAUGAAUGCUAGGUGUAGGGGGUAUCGACCCCUUCUGUGCCGCAGUCAACACAAUAAGCAUUCCGCCUGGGGAGUACGGCCGCAAGGUUGAAACUCAAAGGAAUUGACGGG